CAUACUUGCUCAAUGGUAGAGCGAUCGUAUUUUAACGAUAAGUGUAGGUUCAAUUCCUGCGGUGUUACCA
RNAcentral lists this transfer RNA (70 nucleotides) under Nostoc sp. TCL240-02. Its description in RNAcentral is "tRNA-Lys". The stretch from base 8 to 60 matches the Rfam family "tRNA", at positions 10 to 63 of the family's 71-position model. From Rfam's summary of the family: Transfer RNA (tRNA) molecules are approximately 80 nucleotides in length. Their secondary structure includes four short double-helical elements and three loops (D, anti-codon, and T loops). The record is from RNAcentral. Lineage: Bacteria; Bacillati; Cyanobacteriota; Cyanophyceae; Nostocales; Nostocaceae.